GACAAAUUCAUACCUUCAUGAUGUGCUUCCCACCUACCCUUGAAGUUUCUUGAUCUGUACAUAAAUUUAUCUCAUUUUUCAAGGUGCUGUUGGUGACUAUUUCCUUGAGCAGUUAAAACAUAUAUUCAUGUCUGACCCAAAUUGACUGUUCUUAUGGGUGUUUAAACAAAUCUUUUUUGAAAUUCCCUGUUUUAAUUAUCGAGGAAAAGAGAUUUCUUCCCAAAAUACACACGGGGUUGGAAUAACCCUGUAUUUGCAAAUGACUGCUUAUGGAAAGAGCACAAUGUCAUUAUACCUAAAUAUGACAGAAUUCUGGGUCUGGGAAAGAAGCAAGGACUAUUUACAAGACAGCAAAACCAAAACACCUUAAGGGAACGCAUUCCGGGAAUUAUCUUCAGAUAUCAUUAACUUAUUUCGGUCAGAAGUUCCUGGGAACUGUAAUCCCAAUGUCAGAAGGUGUCUGAUAAGGGCUUUGGAUGCUGCAGAUAGAGCAGUGCUCUGAAACAAACGUACUCCCACCUAUCCAACACCACCAUUGGCAGCAAUGUAACUCUCCUGCUCAGGGGGUUCUGAGCCGAUUUACUUUUCAACAUUUGAGUUAUAAAAAUGAGUCUGCUAUUGCUUUGUUUCCUCUUCUGAACCAUUCUAUGGAACUUAAGAUAAGUCCCUUUGCCUGUUUUGUUUUAUCAGCUUAGCAGGAAAAAAAAAUGAAGUCUGACCCUACUUUUGAAAGCGAGCUGCACCAAUGCCUUCAUUCCUAUUUCCUGUUAGCUUCAGUCAACAAACCUAUUGCUCUAACUGCUGUGUCG
This 809-nucleotide long non-coding RNA is filed under the name Gallus gallus (chicken). Its description in RNAcentral is "long non-coding RNA NONGGAT002536". Lineage: Eukaryota; Metazoa; Chordata; Aves; Galliformes; Phasianidae. The record is from RNAcentral.